UACAGAGGGUGCGAGCGUUAAUCGGAAUUACUGGGCGUAAAGGGCGCGUAGGUGGUUUAUUAAGUGAGAUGUGAAAUCCCUGGGCUUAACCUAGGAAUGGCAUCUUAAACUGAUGAACUGGAGUACAGUAGAGGGUAGUGGAAUUUCCGGUGUAGCGGUGAAAUGCGUAGAGAUCGGAAGGAACACCAGUGGCGAAGGCGGCUACCUGGACAAUUGCUGACGCUCAGGCACGAAAGCGUGGGGAGCAAAAGGG
Molecule: ribosomal RNA, 253 nt
Filed under: uncultured bacterium
Lineage: Bacteria
Description: partial 16S ribosomal RNA
Rfam family: Bacterial small subunit ribosomal RNA
Source: RNAcentral